UACGUAGGCAGCAAGCGUUGUUCGGAGUUACUGGGCGUAAAGGGUGUGUAGGCGGUCCCUUAAGUUUGUUGUGAAAUCUCCCGGCUCAACUGGGAGGGUGCGGCGAAUACUGAGGGGCUAGAGUGCGGGAGAGGAAAGUGGAAUUCCUGGUGUAGCGGUGAAAUGCGUAGAUAUCAGGAGGAACACCGGUGGUGUAAACGGCUUUCUGGACCGUAACUGACGCUGAAACACGAAAGCGUGGGUAGCAAACAGG
RNAcentral lists this ribosomal RNA (253 nucleotides) under uncultured bacterium. RNAcentral describes it as "partial 16S ribosomal RNA". It matches the Rfam family "Bacterial small subunit ribosomal RNA", at positions 524 to 776 of the family's 1533-position model. The record is from RNAcentral.